Molecule: long non-coding RNA, 716 nt
Organism: Hyla sarda
Lineage: Eukaryota; Metazoa; Chordata; Amphibia; Anura; Hylidae
Exons: 3
Source: RefSeq, a predicted model, not a curated record
UCCAGCGCUAAAAUAUAUAGAGGAAGCCAUGAUGACGAAACUUCCGCUGAGGGGCGUGUCCACGCUUAUCCCCAUGACAAAUGCCUUAGUCUGCCCUCUAUCGGUCAGGAGGUGACAGCGCUGUCGCUGUUAAUGUGACGUAGGGCGGAGGCGUGGUAGAGAAGGAGGAGGAGCUCCGGGCGGACAGAUCGUUGGAUACAAUGUUACAGACUCCGCUGUUUGUUCCGCACAGUCACGUGACUGCGCUAAUUCUGUAACCGCAUAUCACAGGACAGCAGUGAUCUGAUUGGCUCCCAAGUGCCGUCUCUCCGCCCACGUGUUGUUAAUUCUUCCCACGGGCCAUGACGUCAGAAGGAGGCGUGGUAUUAGGCUCCUCCUACAGGAAGAAGUCGGAUCCGCGGACACAUUGGUCGGUAAUGGAGGAAACGGUCCGGAACCGGAGCUCGUGAGUGCAGAGGACGGGGCCCGGGGCUACACGUGACCGGGAGGAGCGGACAUGGGCGGGAACCGGCGGAGCCUCCUGUACAUCCUCAUCCUGCUCUGCCAGAUGGAUGGCGGUCGGGGGAGCGGGGUUUCUCUGCCGGAGUCGCUGCUGUUCGUCUCUACCCUGGACGGGGGUCUCCACGCUGUCAGUAAGAAGACCGGCGCCAUCAAGUGGAUGUUACAAGAAGAUCCUGUUCUACAAGUCCCGACUCAUAUGGAAGAGUAAGUCCCCC